UAUUAUACAAGAUGAGCUAAAGAAUGCAUGCGACACUUAAGGAGAACCUUUACUUGGAAUUGAACCAACCUCACGUGAAAAGAUCAAACACAAAAGAUGAUAAUAAAUAAACAAUUAAACUAAAAGUGGUCAAAUGGAGUGACUUGUGACAUAAUCACUUAGGCAAAGAUAAUGACAAGGAGGCAAUUAUCAAUUAAAAUGGGGGAGACUGUUGAAGUUGAUAUUAUUAAGUAUAAAAUGCAAUAUGGAAUGUCAUAUACGGAUGAAAAAAAAAGAACUAAAUUCAAGAAGCAAAGAAUAAGACUAAUACUAGUUUACAGUAAAGUAGACCACCACCUUGAAAAAUAAGUUUCCCUCUUAACAUAUAGCAGUCCACAAAAUGACAAAAUACAAAAUCAUUGUUUCAUACCACUAAGAAAGGGCAGCAACAUGCAUAUGUAUUAAGGGGAUAGACUUAAGUAUUUUGGAUAUGAACAAAUUAGUGUACGAAG
This 491-nucleotide long non-coding RNA is filed under the name Solanum tuberosum (potato). Its description in RNAcentral is "long non-coding RNA (STUB_LNC006655)". Lineage: Eukaryota; Viridiplantae; Streptophyta; Magnoliopsida; Solanales; Solanaceae. The record is from RNAcentral.